UACGGAGGAUGCAAGCGUUAUCCGGAUUUAUUGGGCGUAAAGCGUCCGCAGGUGGUUUACCAAGUCUGCUGUUAAAGCGCGAGGCUUAACCUCGUACAGGCAGUGGAAACUGGGAGACUAGAGUCUGGUAGGGGUAGCGGGAAUUCCCAGUGUAGCGGUGAAAUGCGUAGAUAUUGGGAAGAACACCAGCGGCGAAAGCGCGCUACUGGGCCAUGACUGACACUCAGGGACGAAAGCUAGGGGAGCGAAAGGG
Molecule: ribosomal RNA, 253 nt
Filed under: uncultured bacterium
Lineage: Bacteria
Description: partial 16S ribosomal RNA
Rfam family: Bacterial small subunit ribosomal RNA
Source: RNAcentral